GGAGCCUCCCAAGGCUAUUUAUUACUUACUCUUUUGGUUCUCCGGUCCAUUUGACAACACUUGGACCCAAUCAACUGACUUCUGGCCUGUCAGCUCCCUGUAAUUACAUGAUCUUGAGGUGACGUACGACACCUCGUUAACCGCAAUCAAUGUCUGGGAGGCUGCAAAUUUUCACAUGCCAAAAACGUAAGAUUCUUAAGGAGUUGUGCGAGAUGACGAUACAUAGAGGCCGCAGAAUUAUGAGGACUACCAGAUCCUCAUGGUGGAACCUAAGCGAUCCAUGAUAUCACGACAGGCCCUACAGUGAACAAUGAACAUUAUACUUUCUACACCAGCAAUACACAAUAUCCAACUCAAAAAUUACACGUCAGUGUUGAAGGGUUGGGCGAGGUCAAUCAUGAGGCAAAAUGGUGUUCGUGCAUAGCCAGGCCUUGAGGGCCGAAAGGUAAGAAGGUAUAUUUGUGUUCUCAGCUCAAGUGAGUGCGCUCCUUCUUAAAUUUUAUUUAAUUUUCGUUAUUUUUUAUAAUUUGUAUUGAUACUGAGGUCGUUCUCCAUAGUUUAAUUGUUUUAUCAACAAACAUUUCUGGCCACAGUUCAUAGAGCAAUACUGUUCAUGUUUUAGAUUAUGUUAACAAUUUCUUAACCGGUGUAUCCAUAAUCUGUAUCAUCAUAUCGAUACCACCUUUCUUUCAUGCUCAUGAAAUCAAUAUAACGAUCGCAAUACAGAUAUCAAGGCGCUAUGAUGAUGAUGAUGAAGAUUGUGGUAGUAUUUCUACUCGUGGCUGGAUUUCAUGCUCAAUCACCACUGGCACUACCACCAUGUGUUGAUGCCGGCAUUCCAGGAAUUUGUAAAAUUAUGGUGGACAUUUAUAAUGGAGACUGCCUAGGAACAUACGAAGAAGAUAUGGUAAAGAAUUGCCGUAAAAGUUGCCGUCUUUGCGAUGUAGAGUAAUAGCUAAGGGUGCUCAGUCUAAUGAUGCCGUGAUCACGUGAUACUUGCUCUAACUUGCAGUAGCGCGCGACCGCAGUACGCGUAGACACAUGGCUAUGUGAUCUCGUGAUACCUGAUGGUGGACGGUACAAGGAUCACGUGAUAUAGAGACAAUAAUUAUAGAGACCUUUAUUAGAUAGAGACAAUUAUUCAUUGUUAUCUUAAUCAAUGGGCACAAUAAGUUGAUUUCUGUAAUCAUAGCGUACAAUCUUAAAAUGUGUUUAAAACGAUUCCGUAUUAUUACACUAUACUAUUCUUCUAAACUGUAACAAUUUUCCUGUAUUUGAUGCUUUUAGCAUUUGCAUUUA
Bolinopsis microptera is the source of this 1299-nucleotide long non-coding RNA. RefSeq lists it as uncharacterized. NCBI's taxonomy places the organism in Eukaryota, Metazoa, Ctenophora, Tentaculata, Lobata, Bolinopsidae. The record is from RefSeq and is a predicted model, not a curated record. The transcript has 2 exons.